CCCGCUGAACUUAAGCAUAUUACUAAGCGCAGGAAAAGAAAACAACAGUGAUUUCCUCAGUAACGGCGAGUGAACAGGAAACAGCCCAAGAUUGAAUCCGUGGUGGAUGGAAUCUGAAGCCAUGGAAUUGUAGUGCCAGGGGAGUGAGGCAAGGUCCGAGUGGUGUGGAUAAGCGGUCUGAAAAGGUCGUAUCACAGAGGGUUAUCGUCCCGUAUGUACCACACGUCCUCGGGUCAACAACGCUUCUCUCUUCCAAGAGUCGUACAGUUUGGGAAUGCUGUGCAAAAUCGCUGGUGUGCUUCAGCGAAGGCUAAAUAUUGCUUCGAGACCGAUAGCGAACAAGUAGUGUGAACGAAAGAUGAAAAGAACUUUGAAAAGAGAGUGAAAAGUACUUGAAAUCGUUGAGCGCCAAGGGUAUGGGAGCCCUGUCAUCCUGCCCUAUGGGCAGGUAAUGAUCGGAUAGGUUGGCUUCUUCCGGUGGUCUGCCGAGCUCUGCACUUCGGUGUGGCGUCAGCAAGACCGAUACGGCGAGUGAGUCGACUUAUUAGCCUGUUUCGCCCAGGUGUCGAAGUGUGGAGUAGGUUUGCGGGAGCAGCAGCUUCCUCGGAGGUGGUUCUCACGUGAGCUUGCUACACGCACGAUGCUUGACGCACGAUGGGCACUACCGAUUACUGAAUGAUCUCAUACCACCCGUCUUGAAACACGG
RNAcentral lists this ribosomal RNA (706 nucleotides) under uncultured fungus. Its description in RNAcentral is "eukaryotic LSU rRNA". It matches the Rfam family "Eukaryotic large subunit ribosomal RNA", at positions 24 to 664 of the family's 3401-position model. The record is from RNAcentral. Lineage: Eukaryota; Fungi.